GCACCUACGGGACGCAGCAGUGGGGAAUAUUGCACAAUGGGGGGAACCCUGAUGCAGCGACGCCGCGUGGGUGAGGAAGUACUUCGGUAUGUAAAGCUCUGUCAGCAGGGAAGAGAAUGACGGUACCUGACCAAGAAGCCCCGGCUAAAUACGUGCCAGCAGCCGCGGUAAUACGUAUGGGGCAAGCGUUAUCCGGAUUUACUGGGUGUAAAGGGAGCGUAGGCGGCAGGGCAAGCCUGAUGUGAAAGCCCGGGGCUCAACCCCGGGACUGCAUUGGGAACUGCCCCGCUCGAGUGCCGGAGGGG
RNAcentral lists this ribosomal RNA (305 nucleotides) under uncultured bacterium. RNAcentral's name for it is "bacterial SSU rRNA". It matches the Rfam family "Bacterial small subunit ribosomal RNA", at positions 333 to 657 of the family's 1533-position model. The record is from RNAcentral.